RNAcentral lists this ribosomal RNA (431 nucleotides) under uncultured bacterium. RNAcentral describes it as "partial 16S ribosomal RNA". It matches the Rfam family "Bacterial small subunit ribosomal RNA", at positions 29 to 507 of the family's 1533-position model. The record is from RNAcentral.
AACGAACGCUGGCGGCAGGCUUAACACAUGCAAGUCGAGCGCCCCGCAAGGGGAGCGGCAGACGGGUGAGUAACGCGUGGGAACGUACCUUUUGGUUCGGAACAACUCCGGGAAACUGGAGCUAAUACCGGAUAAGCCCUAACGGGGAAAGAUUUAUCGCCGAAAGAUCGGCCCGCGUCUGAUUAGCUAGUUGGUGAGGUAACGGCUCACCAAGGCGACGAUCAGUAGCUGGUCUGAGAGGAUGAUCAGCCACACUGGGACUGAGACACGGCCCAGACUCCUACGGGAGGCAGCAGUGGGGAAUAUUGGACAAUGGGCGCAAGCCUGAUCCAGCCAUGCCGCGUGAGUGAUGAAGGCCUUAGGGUUGUAAAGCUCUUUUGUCCGGGAAGAUAAUGACUGUAUCGGAAGAAUAAGCCCCGGCUAACUUCGUG